GGUAGUCCACGCCGUAAACGAUGCAUACUAGACGUAUGGGGUAUCGACCCCCUGUGCGUCGCAGCUAACGCGAUAAGUAUGCCGCCUGGGAAGUACGGCCGCAAGGCUAAAACUCAAAGGAAUUGACGGGGACCCGCACAAGCAGAGGAGGAUGUGGUUUAAUAUGACGCUACGCGUAGAACCUUACCGAGGCUUGACAUCUUAGGAACCCACUGGAAACAGAGGGGUGCCUUCGGGAGCCUAAUGACAGGUGCUGCAUGGCCGUCGUCAGCUCGUGUCGUGAGAUGUUGGGUUAAG
This 297-nucleotide ribosomal RNA is filed under the name uncultured bacterium. Its description in RNAcentral is "partial 16S ribosomal RNA". It matches the Rfam family "Bacterial small subunit ribosomal RNA", at positions 789 to 1084 of the family's 1533-position model. The record is from RNAcentral.